CGGCGGCGAGCGGCGGACGGCUGAGUAACGCGUGGGAAUCUGCCCCAAAGUGAGGGAUAACUGCCCGAAAGGGUAGCUAAUACCGCAUAUGGUCUUCGGAUUAAAGCAUUUAUGCGCUUUGGGAGGAGCCCGCGUCGGAUUAGGUAGUUGGUAGGGUAAUGGCCUACCAAGCCGACGAUCCGUAGCUGGUCUGAGAGGAUGAUCAGCCAGACUGGGACUGAGACACGGCCCAG
This 233-nucleotide ribosomal RNA is filed under the name uncultured bacterium. RNAcentral describes it as "partial 16S ribosomal RNA". It matches the Rfam family "Bacterial small subunit ribosomal RNA", at positions 86 to 334 of the family's 1533-position model. The record is from RNAcentral.